GUUAACGAAACUUGGUGGCAUUCAUCCGACUAAUGCUGCUGUUGGUUGCUUCGGUUGUACUGCUCUCACUUCGGUGCGGGUAGCAGCCUGGCGACUUAACCGGUUGCGUUUGGUUGGUGCUUUUGCCACCGGUAUGCGCUGAGAGGUUCGCUGCGGUGCGUUGAAGCUAGGCUAAGAGGACCGCUGCCCUUGUGACAGCGGAAACCUUGGCCGGUCGAGGCGUAUCCGUUCGGUGAAUCGUGUUCGCCACUGUGUCGCUCGCCUGCUAGGCGCAACGGCUGUCGCCGGUCGAUGUGGUUGUUGAGCGGUCGCGUGCGACUUGCUUACAGCUCGACGUUGGCUGGUUUGGCGGUGCGGUUGCGUAUUAGAGCGUCACGUCUCGGUGUCAAAGUUGACCACCUAUCCGACCCGUCUUGAAACACGGACCAAGGAGUUUAGCAUAUGCGCGAGUCAUUGGGUGGUAAACCUAGCGGCGUAAUGAAAGUAAAGAUUGCUUUAAUGCAGUUGAUAUGGGAGCUGUGCUGGUUGCGGCCGUGCAGCGCACCAUAGCCCCGUCCUUGUUGCUUGCAAUAGGGCGGAGGUGGAGCGCAUACGCUGAGACCCGAAAGAUGGUGAACUAUGCCUGAGCAGGAUGAAGCCAGAGGAAAC
RNAcentral lists this ribosomal RNA (648 nucleotides) under Davenema obtusum. Its description in RNAcentral is "LSU rRNA". It matches the Rfam family "Eukaryotic large subunit ribosomal RNA", at positions 518 to 862 of the family's 3401-position model. The record is from RNAcentral. Lineage: Eukaryota; Metazoa; Nematoda; Chromadorea; Rhabditida; Thelastomatidae.